Molecule: ribosomal RNA, 500 nt
Filed under: uncultured bacterium
Lineage: Bacteria
Description: partial 16S ribosomal RNA
Rfam family: Bacterial small subunit ribosomal RNA
Source: RNAcentral
AUUGAACGCUGGCGGCAUGCCUUACACAUGCAAGUCGAACGGCAGCGCGGACUUCGGUCUGGCGGCGAGUGGCGAACGGGUGAGUAAUACAUCGGAACGUACCCUGUUGUGGGGGAUAACUAGUCGAAAGAUUAGCUAAUACCGCAUACGACCUGAGGGUGAAAGUGGGGGACCGCAAGGCCUCACGCAGCAGGAGCGGCCGAUGUCUGAUUAGCUAGUUGGUGGGGUAAAGGCCCACCAAGGCGACGAUCAGUAGCUGGUCUGAGAGGACGACCAGCCACACUGGGACUGAGACACGGCCCAGACUCCUACGGGAGGCAGCAGUGGGGAAUUUUGGACAAUGGGGGCAACCCUGAUCCAGCAAUGCCGCGUGUGUGAAGAAGGCCUUCGGGUUGUAAAGCACUUUUGUCCGGAAAGAAAUCGCGCUGGUUAAUAAGCUGAGCUCAUGACGGUACCGUAAGAAUAAGCACCGGCUAACUACGUGCCAGCAGCCGCAGUAA